RNAcentral lists this long non-coding RNA (297 nucleotides) under Actinidia chinensis (golden kiwifruit). RNAcentral's name for it is "long non-coding RNA (ACHI_LNC000806)". The record is from RNAcentral. Lineage: Eukaryota; Viridiplantae; Streptophyta; Magnoliopsida; Ericales; Actinidiaceae.
UAUACAACAUAUUCGUAAUUCCUCCAUUAAUAGUUAUAUUCAAACAGUAAACAAUCCCGUCCUACGAAUUCAAAAUUUAUAAUCCGCAUUACACGUCUAAUCCGGCCAAUCAAGCAGUAAAAAAUCCCGUCCUACGAAAUCAAAAUUUGUAAUCCUCAUUACAUAUCUAAUCCGGUCAAUCAAACAGCAGGAAUAGCUCUCAAGCCAUCAACCCAAAGUUUGCUUUUUGAUUAUGCCUUACCAUAGAAGGUAAUCCACAUGCUAAAAUUGUUCAACACCAUGGAUGCACUUGUGAUU